CUUUAGAUGGGAGGGCAAUACAGUGGCCAAUGUGAAUACAUCUGCAACCACAGAAGCAUGAGGAUAAUGUUUAGGAGGAAGUUUCUUCCAGGCAUUGUUAAAUGGAGCCCACUGAGAGCUGUAGCCUGUAUGAACCGUUCAAGGCAAAUCUGAGUAUAUGCCAUAAAAAAAUAUAACAACCAUGACAUCAAGUACAGCUAGGUAUUGAAGAGAAGCUGCCAUCUCCACCUGAAGUUUAGCUGGAAGCUAGCUUUUUUGUUCUUGAAGCACCCAAAUGGCCUCAAGUUGUACCAGGGGAGAUUCAGGUUGGAUGUCAGGAAAAACAUCUUUUCCAAAAGAGUGGUCAGGUGCUGCAAUGGGCUGCCCAGGGAGGUGGUGGAGUCACCGUCCCUGGAGGUGUUAAGAAACAUGUAGAUGUUGUACUGAGUGACAUGGUUUAGUGGGAAAUAUUGGUGGACAAUUGGACUGGAUGAUCAUGGAAGUCUUUUCCAAACUUGGUGGUUCUAUGAAAUUUGGCUGUGGAACAGGAGCGUUGUGAAUUUCUAUCUGUUGUCAUGUUUAUUCUUUCCAGAUGUCUUUCUGGCUGUAGGUCAAAGCUUUAAAGGCAUGGAGAUGAGUCAGGGGAGGGUCAGGUAGGGGUUAGGGAAAGGCUUGGCCCCAGAGAGCAGUGAGUUCACUUACUCGUGUCCUUGCUCGAGUCUCAGCCCCAGCACAGCACUGCUGCUCAGGCAGCACUGGCAGGUGGUGCUAAUUAGAGCGGUGUGUUUUAUGAUGGCACUAUUAAGCAGAGUUAUUUAUACCAUUGUACUUCUUAUUUUAUCACUUGGUGUCUUCAAAACAGUCUCCUUUUGGAUAAUGAAGCUCAAUGUUUUCGUACCUCGUGAUGUCCCAUUAGUCUGCAGAGACACCGAUGUUGACAUUCAUUAUCUAUUCUCGGAAGUGGUUAUCAGCAGAACAGGUUUCAUUCCUCCAGAGGUCUCUUUUGGACGUGCCCUGGAAACUCUCACGCGUUACCCAGGUGAGCAAAUCCUGACCAUGCUGACCUGAUUGCAGAGUUCCAAUACCUUCACUGUCUUCAAAUGUAACAUCUGUAAAGUUUAUCACACAUAGAAAUACAUGUGCAGAUACACACCUAUCUGUCUGUCUGUGCACACACAUGUGAACACACAACACCCUUUGCCCACUGUUUCCUCUCUAGCCUUGUCCUUGAGGGACAUCUGAUCCCCUCCACAUGAAGGUGUUGUGCCAUACAGUUGUUUUCUUGCUUUUCCUCAGUGAACUCUCUGUUCUUACAGCACACCCCAGCACUUCCCUGGAAAUGUCACAGAAAGAUGCACUGAGAUCAGCCAGAUGCUGCACUGUGUAUCCUCUUUGCGUUCCUCAUUUGAUUUCUGACUUCAAAUACUCCUUCUUGCUUUCCCAUGGUGAUCACAGGAGGGUCCAGAUCUGGUCUCUUCCUAUCAUAUCUCCCAAAGCUCAUUCUCU
RNAcentral lists this long non-coding RNA (1485 nucleotides) under Numida meleagris (helmeted guineafowl). RNAcentral's name for it is "lncRNA (ENSNMEG00000017193.1)". The record is from RNAcentral. Lineage: Eukaryota; Metazoa; Chordata; Aves; Galliformes; Numididae.